UACGGAGGGUGCGAGCGUUGUUCGGAAUCACUGGGCGUAAAGCGCGUGUAGGCGGCCCAUUAAGUCUGAUGUGAAAGCCCGGGGCUCACCCCCGGAAGUGCAUUGGAAACUGAUGGACUCGAGUCCCGGAGAGGAGAGUGGAAUUCCUGGUGUAGCGGUGAAAUGCGUAGAUAUCAGGAGGAACACCGGUGGCGAAGGCGGCUCUCUGGACGGUGACUGACGCUGAGACGCGAAAGCGUGGGGAGCAAACAGG
This 253-nucleotide ribosomal RNA is filed under the name uncultured bacterium. Its description in RNAcentral is "partial 16S ribosomal RNA". It matches the Rfam family "Bacterial small subunit ribosomal RNA", at positions 524 to 776 of the family's 1533-position model. The record is from RNAcentral.